Molecule: ribosomal RNA, 433 nt
Filed under: uncultured bacterium
Lineage: Bacteria
Description: partial 16S ribosomal RNA
Rfam family: Bacterial small subunit ribosomal RNA
Source: RNAcentral
AACGAACGCUGGCGGCAUGCCUAACACAUGCAAGUCGAACGAGACCUUCGGGUCUAGUGGCGCACGGGUGCGUAACGCGUGGGAACCUGCCCUUAGGUUCGGAAUAACUCCCCGAAAGGGGUGCUAAUACCGGAUAAUGUCUUCGGACCAAAGAUUUAUCGCCUUUGGAUGGGCCCGCGUUGGAUUAGCUAGUUGGUAGGGUAAAAGCCUACCAAGGCGACGAUCCAUAGCUGGUCUGAGAGGAUGAUCAGCCACACUGGGACUGAGACACGGCCCAGACUCCUACGGGAGGCAGCAGUAGGGAAUAUUGGACGAGGGGCGAAAGCCUGAUCCAGCAAUGCCGCGUGAGUGAUGAAGGCCUUAGGGUUGUAAAGCUCUUUUACCCGGGAUGAUAAUGACAGUACCGGGAGAAUAAGCACCGGCUAACUCCGUG